AGAGCGAACGCUGGCGGCAGGCCUAAAACAUGCAAGUCGAACGCCCGUAGCAAUACGGGAGUGGCAGACGGGUGAGUAACACGUGGGAACGUGCCCUUUGGUUCGGAACAACACAGGGAAACUUGUGCUAAUACCGGAUAAGCCCUUAGGGGAAAGAUUUAUCGCCAGAGGAUCGGCCCGCGUCUGAUUAGCUAGUUGGUGAGGUAACGCUCACCAAGGCUACGAUCAGUAGCUGGUCUGAGAGGAUGAUCAGCCACACUGGGACUGAGACACGGCCCAGACUCCUACGGGAGCAGCAGUUAGGAAUCUGGACAAUGGGCGCAAGCCUGAUCCAGCCAUGCCGCGUGAGUGAUGAAGGCCUUAGGUGUAAAGCUCUUCGAGCGGGAAGAUAAUGACGGUACCCGCAGAAGAACGCCCCGGACUAACUUCGCGCCAGCAGC
This 440-nucleotide ribosomal RNA is filed under the name uncultured soil bacterium. Its description in RNAcentral is "bacterial SSU rRNA". It matches the Rfam family "Bacterial small subunit ribosomal RNA", at positions 26 to 515 of the family's 1533-position model. The record is from RNAcentral.